AUGUUCAGCUCUCCUAUAUAUACAGCACUGCGCCGGAAAUGCCCUUGCCGAGGCCGAGGAGGGCUAUGUAGAACAUGACUAGGAAGAAUACAGCCAUUAGCAGCGGCGUCGGCACCGCGGCCACGAGACUGCCCUGACAAGUGUGGGGACAUAACCGUCCCCUACCCAUUCGGCAUCGGCCGCGGUUGUUCGCGCCCCAACUUCAACCUCAAUUGCAGCGAGGGGGUACUGCUCAGAGGCAACAACAUCCAAAUCGAAAGCAUAACGCUGGAGACGGCACAGAUUGUCGCCUACCUCACGUCAACAUACAGCUGCAACGCGCAGGGAAGGAGAUCACGGUCACAGAACAUGUCCUUCAACCUGGGCAGUGGCCUGUUCCUCCUGUCGCCGGCGGACAACGUUUUCACGGCCAUCGGCUGCAGUCUAGAGGCGAGGCUCAACGGCCGCAUCGGCUCCGCCUCCGCCAACCGCUACCUCACGGGCUGCAUCACGACCUGCACCAGCGUGGACCUGGACGAUAUCGGGCAGGAAGGCGCGCCGUGCAGUGGCCAAGGCUGCUGCCAGGCCUCCAUUGCUCCCGGCCUCAGCUAUGUUGCAUCACGCUGGGGCAAGGACAAGCAGAACAACAAUCCAGUGCCCGACAACACAUGCCAAUAUGCCUUCGUGGCCAAGAAAGGCUGGUACAAUUUUAGUCAAUCAGACCUCGUCGGGAAGAAUUUUGCCAACAAACUUGUCAAGGGCACGGUCCCACUUGUUCUUGAUUGGGCCAUCAGGAACGGGAGAUGUCCGUCGCCACAGCACAAUGGCAACAAGGAUAUUCCCUAUGGAGUCUGCAUUAGCACCCACAGCUACUGCGUUAAUUCCAGUAAUGGCCCAGGCUACUUCUGCAAUUGCAGCGAGGGAUACGUCGGCAAUCCCUACGAAGGCAACGGAUGCAAAAAUAUUAAUGAGUGUGAGCCAUCGACGUGGCCAAAGUCAAUAAAGUACGGAAACUUAUUUCCUUGUCAUGGUGGGAAAUGCCGCGAUGUGGAUGGUGACUAUGAAUGCAAUUGCAAUUUUGGAUGAAGAGGUGACGGUAAAAGUGACAAGGGUUGUGAACCUGUAUUGUCCUCAGCUGCAGUUGUCGUGAUAGGAACAAUUAGUGCCAUAUUCAUAUCAGCAUUACUACUGCUAUUCGUACAUAUGGAGCAUGAGAAAAGAAAGCUUAGUGAUCGUUACAACAUGAAUGGCGGAAAGUUGCUGAAAAGCAUCAAGAUCGAGAUUUUCAAAAAGGAGGAGCUAGACAAAAUAACCAAGAAUUAUAGUACUAUAAUAGGAAAAGGUGCCUUUGGUGAGGUCUACAAGGGAACUACUCGUGAAUACAUGCAGGUUGCGGUCAAACGCUCCAUUGCAAUCAACAAGGAUCGCCAGAAGGAUUUCGCCAAUGAGAUUCAAAUCCAGUCACAAAUAAGUCACAAGUAUCUGGUCCAACUGUUGGGGUGUUGCUUGGAGACAGAAGUUCCUAUGUUGGUCUAUGAGUUCGUGCCAAGGGGAAGCCUCUACGACGUUCUUCAUGGCAAGAAUGGCAAUAUGAGAAGAGAUCCUAUCUCCCUACGAGCACGCCUCGACAUUGCCAUCUGCUCCGCGGAUGCCCUUGCAUACAUGCAUUCACAGGCGAGUCAGAAGAUCCUACAUGGAGAUGUGAAAUCCGGAAACAUCCUCCUUGAUGAUGAGUUCAUGCCUAAGGUGUCGGACUUCGGUACGUCGAGGCUUAUGUCCAUUGAAAAGGACCACACCAAUUGGGUGAUCGGGGACAGUAGCUACAUCGACCCCGUGUAUAUGAAGACUGGACUCCUCACAGAGAAAAGCGAUGUGUACAGCUUUGGGAUCGUGGUGCUGGAGCUCAUUACGCGGAAGAAGGCAAGGUAUGAUAGGAACAACAGUCUUCCAUUAAACUAUAUCAAGGCUUCCAUGGAAGGGGCUACAGGGCAGAUGUAUGAUACAGAGAUUCUGUCCAGCGGGGAGGAUGUGAAGUGCCUCGGCGAGGUUGGACUGAUCGCGCUGCAAUGCCUCGAAGUUGAUGUGGAUGACAGACCGACCAUGACCGAAGUCGCGGAGAAGAUUAAAAGGUGUAAGAGUCGGUGGCUGCAAAGCCAUUGGCAUGGGAAGACCAAAGCAUUGUGA
Molecule: ribosomal RNA, 2163 nt
Filed under: Triticum aestivum (bread wheat)
Lineage: Eukaryota; Viridiplantae; Streptophyta; Magnoliopsida; Poales; Poaceae
Description: partial small subunit ribosomal RNA
Source: RNAcentral